AGAGUUUGAUCAUGGCUCAGGAUGAACGCUAGCGGCAGGCUUAAUACAUGCAAGUCGAGGGGUAACAUGGGGUAGCAAUACUCCGAUGACGACCGGCAAACGGGUGCGGAACACGUACGCAACCUUCCCAAAACUGGUGAAUAGCCCUCCGAAAGGAGGAUUAAUACACCGUAACUUAACGAAGUGGCAUCAUUUUGUUAAUAUAGGCUUCGGCCGGUUUUGGAUGGGCGUGCGCCUGAUUAGGUAGUUGGCGGGGUAACGGCCCACCAAGCCUGCGAUCAGUAACUGGUGUGAGAGCACGACCAGUCACACGGGCACUGAGACACGGGCCCGACUCCUACGGGAGGCAGCAGUAAGGAAUAUUGGUCAAUGGACGAAAGUCUGAACCAGCCAUGCCGCGUGAAGGAUUAAGGCCCUCUGGGUUGUAAACUUCUUUUAUCUGGGACGAAAAAAGGGUAUUCUUACUCACUUGACGGUACCAGAGGAAUAAGCACCGGCUAACUCCGUGCCAGCAGCCGCGGUAAUACGGAGGGUGCAAGCGUUAUCCGGAUUUACUGGGUUUAAAGGGUGCGUAGGUGGGUUUGUAAGUCAGUGGUGAAAUCUCCGAGCUUAACUCGGAAACUGCCGUUGAUACUAUAAAUCUUGAAUUAUAUGGAGGUAAGCGGAAUAUGUCAUGUAGCGGUGAAAUGCUUAGAUAUGACAUAGAACACCAAUUGCGAAGGCAGCUUACUACGUAUUUAUUGACACUGAGGCACGAAAGCGUGGGGAUCAAACAGGAUUAGAUACCCUGGUAGUCCACGCCCUAAACGAUGGAUACUCGACAUUAGCGAUACACUGUUAGUGUUUGAGCGAAAGCAUUAAGUAUCCCACCUGGGAAGUACGAUCGCAAGAUUGAAACUCAAAUGAAUUGACGG
RNAcentral lists this ribosomal RNA (914 nucleotides) under uncultured bacterium. RNAcentral's name for it is "bacterial SSU rRNA". It matches the Rfam family "Bacterial small subunit ribosomal RNA", at positions 8 to 916 of the family's 1533-position model. The record is from RNAcentral.